RNAcentral lists this long non-coding RNA (799 nucleotides) under Capra hircus (goat). RNAcentral describes it as "lncRNA (ENSCHIG00000003882.1)". Lineage: Eukaryota; Metazoa; Chordata; Mammalia; Artiodactyla; Bovidae. The record is from RNAcentral.
AGGUAGUUCAAUACCAUAUUGGUCAGUGCAGUUCUAGUGAGUGUGUUAGGUGAAGGUGACAGGUUUGAAUAUGCUUACUACACUCAGGCAGCAAAAAUACAAGGUAAUCUCCACCUACCAGAGACCGUGAGGUCAUACAGGCCAGGAAACCUUCAGGGAAAAUUUUGGGAUCUUCACUGAAGAUGGCAGUUCCAUGAGCAACCAAGAUGAAAUCCAUCCUACUGCCUUAGAGUAGGGUAUGCCUUAGGGAGUAGGCAAGACAGAGUAUAUUUGGAGCCAAAUUGGGUUUGCUAGCUUCUAUCUAGGCUUAUUGUAAAGCUGUCCUCAGGCCUGCAUUGUGAUGUCUCAGACCACAGAACUCUCUGUGGUAGUCAGGGGCUGACUAAGCUAAGCUCUUAAGGCUCUGCAGGAAUAGAUCUUCUUCUUUCAUGAACAAUCUCAAAUGAAUACUUGGUGGAGAAAUAUAUGGCUUGCACUGUACAUCUCUAGUACCACUAGAGAACUGUCUUCCCCGAAAUUGGUCCCUGGUGCCAAAAAGGUUGGGGACUGCUGCAAAAUGGGACACAGCGUAUGUGCUUGGACCACACCAGGGCACGGUGUGAGGAGCCGUCAUGCAGAGGUGUGAGAAAGCAAAAGUUCCUUCUGAGGAUCUUAUUCAAGUGGAAAUCUAGAUCUCAAGUUCAUUUCAAAAAUAACGACAGCCUGAAUAGCACCUACAGGUGUCUCCGAUUUGCCAGUCAGUCUACCCGAAGCCAUGGAAUCAAAGAUGAAAAUGACAGGACUCCUGAUAAGAUCUGAC